Schistocerca gregaria is the source of this 826-nucleotide long non-coding RNA. RefSeq lists it as uncharacterized. The transcript has 4 exons. NCBI's taxonomy places the organism in Eukaryota, Metazoa, Arthropoda, Insecta, Orthoptera, Acrididae. The record is from RefSeq and is a predicted model, not a curated record.
GUUGCCGGUACGGCCUUCGGAGUCGGCAGAUGUCGGUCGGUGGGUCAGUUCACGCCAGACAGCUUCCGAACGAGCUGUGGGGCCUGUGUUUCUGUGGAGGAAAGCGCGCUGUCGUUCUGUGUUAUACAGCGUACUAUUCUAGCAAGACUGUGACGAGACGCAGAGAUCGCAGGUUCUACAGUUUCCGCACUGAAGAAAAGCUCCUCAUUACGGAACCACAAGAUUAUCGUUGUUGAUUCGGCGGCAGGUGCAAGACGACACAUCUUCUUACUCACACCGGUGUUGGGAUGGCGAAGUGGCCUCCAGCGCCAAUUACGGCUGGAGAUUGAGGCGACUGCUGGAGCGUGGAUACACGCCGCCAAUUACUGGCAUCCCGCCGAGUGCAGCGGGCUGUGCGCUUCGCACGUCGGCAGGUGUCGCAUCGCUGGUUCCAGUCCGUAACGCCCGGGUUGGCUGCGUUCAGAGACUCGGCGUGAAACUGACACCUACUGUGGGCCGUUUUCCGGCGGCGACUCUGCAGACGUCAGACAAGAUUCCCCUCGCCGAGUCUCAAAGCAAGGACCAUCUCCAGGAGCCCGACGAGGCGCUGGAUCAACACACUGACUGCGACAUCGCUGUCCGAGUGUAACCCUGCACAACUACCUACUAAAAUUUACGAUUGCAGAUGAUACCGACUGACGGUUCACCGCCAAUCUCGUAUUCUCAGCAGAGUGUGUAAAACAGGACGUUUUGUAUGUACAUUAUACGUGACACACCACUGGAGAACUUAUAAUUGUAAUUAACUAGUGCAUAAAAUGACGGUGAUGAAACGCUUUGAAUAAAAUAU